Molecule: ribosomal RNA, 501 nt
Filed under: uncultured bacterium
Lineage: Bacteria
Description: partial 16S ribosomal RNA
Rfam family: Bacterial small subunit ribosomal RNA
Source: RNAcentral
AUUGAACGCUGGCGGCAUGCCUUACACAUGCAAGUCGAACGGCAGCACGGGUGCUUGCACCUGGUGGCGAGUGGCGAUCGGGUGAGUAAUACAUCGGAACGUACCUUAUCGUGGGGGAUAACGCAGCGAAAGCUGUGCUAAUACCGCAUACGCCCUGAGGGGGAAAGCGGGGGAUCGCAAGACCUCGCGCGAUUAGAGCGGCCGAUGCCUGAUUAGCUUGUUGGUGGGGUAAAAGCCCACCAAGGCGACGAUCAGUAGCUGGUCUGAGAGGACGAUCAGCCACACUGGGACUGAGACACGGCCCAGACUCCUACGGGAGGCAGCAGUGGGGAAUUUUGGACAAUGGGGGCAACCCUGAUCCAGCAAUGCCGCGUGAGUGAAGAAGGCCUUCGGGUUGUAAAGCUCUUUUGUCAGGGAAGAAACACCGGCUCUAACACAGUCCGGGAAUGACGGUACCUGAAGAAUAAGCACCGGCUAACAACGUGCCAGCAGCCGCAGUAA